CCCGCCCCCUUUCGCUCUAUGGCUGUCACUGCCUGAGCCUGAAGCGGAUCAUGCUCGACUGCUUCCGGUCGGAGCAGCCAUGAAGUGGCUCCCCUGCAGUUGCAGUCGGUCCUACCUCCCUGGUGUUCUGCUGCUGUAUGUGUGUUUGGCGGGCUCUGCGCUGCAGAGUAAAGUCAUCAUUGAGGUUAAUGUGCUCUCAUAGUUUGGUUCCAUACUUCAAUGUUGGUAUUUCAUGUGCAGAAUCGCUACUGGUGGGGCUGUUCCAGCUCAGGACUCUGUGCCCUGGUUGGUCCCCCAAAGGGUUAAAUCGGUACUGACUACCAUUUUGUCAGCAAGACUACAGCUACAAAAUGGCUGCAGUGCUGGAAGACUUAGGGAACUGACCGUCGUGGUCGUGGGGGCAGUAGCAGUCUUAAUAGAGUCCAGACUUCAAGGUCUCCAGCCACCUCUUCCAGUUCUACCGCGAGGACACCAAGGUGUUCCCCAGGCCAGCUAUGAAACAUAAACCAAGGAACCCUUGCUGACUCAAAUCAGGACGUAUUCUCGAGGGACUUCAAAUCCGUUGGAUGAGCCAUCAAAGGAAAACGAUUCCAAAGGUCCAUGGAUGGUCAUGUGGGCGAUUACUUGAGUGUAAUGAGGGAACCCAUCACCGCACUCAGUGCAGAUAAAGGUACAUGCUUCUCCACCAAAUGGUGCCGAAGAGAAACUACUCAGUGAUUUCUGCCUUUCCAUGAUGAAAUGAUACGGCCCAUGGGCUGAAGGCAUCACUUUUCAAAAAUGAGACUGAGCAAAAUGUUCCAGACUGUGACAAAAACGGAUUUCCAUGGAGGGAUACAAGCAAAGCCUACGGUCCUUCAACAAACUUUGUCCAAAAAUGUAUCCUUCCAAAUUGCACGUUCACUUCCAUUUUCGUUUUUUUCAUGUUUUUACAGUAUCUGGAAGACAAAAACAAAAUACAAAUCAGUCACAUUUUGAAUAACUUUCAUGGUCAUGUCAUGUAAUAAUGUACAACACAUGUUUGAGGCGCUAUAAACAGUUGUACAGGAACAGGUGGGUCAUUUUUUUUGCAAAAAUUUCUUGGUCCAAGAACAACAAACCUGCAAUGUUUCUACUCAGCUGUCAUGAUUAAGCCAGUGUGCCGGUGCAAUAAUUUUGAUGCGGGAAUCAACAAGAAUCUCCAACAUCUUUUUCAAUGUAUUCACAGAGGAAUCUAUUCGGAAAGACUCUGAGGCGGUGACAAGGGAGUCUGUGAAA
Molecule: non-coding RNA, 1254 nt
Organism: Doryrhamphus excisus (bluestripe pipefish)
Lineage: Eukaryota; Metazoa; Chordata; Actinopteri; Syngnathiformes; Syngnathidae
Source: RefSeq, a predicted model, not a curated record